CAUAAUCAUUAGUUUUUUAAUUGGAAACUCGUAUGAAUGGUUAAACAAAAGAAUUUCUGUCUCUUUAUUUGACAUUGAAUUUAACUUUUAAGUGAAAAGGCUUAAAUUUUUUAAGGGGACGAUAAGACCCUAUAAAGCUUUAUAAUGAAAUUACAUUUUUUAAAUAUAAUUUAUAAAGAUAAAUAAAAUUACUUUAUUUUGUUGGGGCGACAUAUAUAUAAAUAUUUCAUAUAACUGUUAUAAUAUAAAUACAUAAAUUUUUGAAUAGAGUAAAUGAUCCUUACUGAAGAUUAAAAGACUAAGUUACUUUAGGGAUAACAGCGUUAUUUCUUUUGAGAGUUCUUAUUGAAAAAGAAGUUUGCGACCUCGAUGUUGAAUUAAAAAAUCUUUAUAGUGCAGCCGCUAUAAGAAG
This 412-nucleotide ribosomal RNA is filed under the name Solinca aulix. RNAcentral's name for it is "partial large subunit ribosomal RNA". It matches the Rfam family "Archaeal large subunit ribosomal RNA", at positions 2037 to 2640 of the family's 2987-position model. The record is from RNAcentral. Lineage: Eukaryota; Metazoa; Arthropoda; Malacostraca; Decapoda; Epialtidae.